This 77-nucleotide transfer RNA is filed under the name Caerostris darwini. RNAcentral describes it as "tRNA-Arg". It matches the Rfam family "tRNA". Rfam says of the family: Transfer RNA (tRNA) molecules are approximately 80 nucleotides in length. Their secondary structure includes four short double-helical elements and three loops (D, anti-codon, and T loops). Further hydrogen bonds mediate the characteristic L-shaped molecular structure. tRNAs have two regions of fundamental functional importance: the anti-codon, which is responsible for specific mRNA codon recognition, and the 3' end, to which the tRNAs corresponding amino acid is attached (by aminoacyl-tRNA synthetases). tRNAs cope with the degeneracy of the genetic code in two manners: having more than one tRNA (with a specific anti-codon) for a particular amino acid; and 'wobble' base-pairing, i.e. permitting non-standard base-pairing at the 3rd anti-codon position. Lineage: Eukaryota; Metazoa; Arthropoda; Arachnida; Araneae; Araneidae. The record is from RNAcentral.
GGGACAGUGGCACAACGGUUAACGCGCCUGACUACGGAUUAGGAGAUUCCUUGUUCGAGACACGGCUGGCUCGUCCU